Molecule: long non-coding RNA, 292 nt
Organism: Labrus mixtus (cuckoo wrasse)
Lineage: Eukaryota; Metazoa; Chordata; Actinopteri; Labriformes; Labridae
Exons: 3
Source: RefSeq, a predicted model, not a curated record
AGUACUUUGAUUGCAUUUCUGUGGUGUUCCUGUAGGUGACCUUGAAGCAGCCAGACUGAAGCAGCACGUUGUGAAGGUGGACGCCAUCAUCUUGUCUUUGCAGCGCUGAUUCUGAAGAGAACGCCUUCACAUAGGACUCAAAGGAAAUCAAUGCCCAAAGGAAACAGCAGUCCAGACUCUGAUUCCAGCUCCGAAGAUGCCCUCAGAUUCAGAUCCAUCAGCAACCCCUGACAACAUGGAGGACUCGUCCCCUGAGCGUUUCCUGUCCUCUCUCGAUGGAGUUCUUCUCAGC